This 88-nucleotide ribosomal RNA is filed under the name Croceitalea sp. Lineage: Bacteria; Pseudomonadati; Bacteroidota; Flavobacteriia; Flavobacteriales; Flavobacteriaceae. The record is from RNAcentral.
CACCCCUUCCCAUCCCGAACAGGGAAGUUAAGCCCGUUUGCGCCGAUGGUACUGCCACACCAGGUGGGAGAGUAGGUCGCCGCCUUCC